RNAcentral lists this ribosomal RNA (714 nucleotides) under uncultured Haplosporidia. RNAcentral's name for it is "SSU rRNA". It matches the Rfam family "Eukaryotic small subunit ribosomal RNA", at positions 1120 to 1819 of the family's 1831-position model. Lineage: Eukaryota; Endomyxa; Ascetosporea; Haplosporida. The record is from RNAcentral.
GGACUCGGGGGGAAGUAUGCUCGCAAGUGUGAAACUUAAAGAAAUUGACGGAAGGGCACCACCAGGCGUGGAGCCUGCGGCUCAAUUCGACUCAACACGGGAAAACUUACCAGGUCCAGACAUAGUAAGGAUUGACAGAUUGAAGAUCUUUCUUGAUUCUAUGGGUAGUGGUGCAUGGCCGUUCUUAGUUGGUGGAGUGAUUUGUCUGGUUAAUUCCGUUAACGAACGAGACCUCGGCCUACUAACUAGUAGAGCUUAUUUGCUUUGUUGUUUGGUUUCGAUCAGAUGACAUAAUGGAUAAAUCAAGGACCUUGUGUCCGUUUUACUUCUUAGAGGGACUCUCUGUGCUUAACAGAGGGAAGUUUGAGGCAAUAACAGGUCUGUGAUGCCCUUAGAUGUUCUGGGCUGCARGCGCGCUACAAUGAUACAUGCAGCGAGUCCUAUCCCUAUGCCGAAAGGCUCGGGAAAUCUUAUGAAAAUGUAUCGUGAUUGGGAUAGAUGAUUGCAAUUAUUCAUCUUGAACGAGGAAUGCCUAGUAAACGCAAGUCAUCAACUUGCAUUGAUUACGUCCCUGCCCUUUGUACACACCGCCCGUCGCUUCUACCGAUGGAAUGAUUCGGUGAAUGCUGUGGAUUGAGAAUAUUGCUUCGCAGCAUGUCUCUCAAGAAGCAGUAUGAACCAAAUUAUUUAGAGGAAGGACAAGUCGUAACAAGG